RNAcentral lists this long non-coding RNA (578 nucleotides) under Macaca mulatta (Rhesus monkey). RNAcentral's name for it is "lncRNA (ENSMMUG00000039544.2)". The record is from RNAcentral. Lineage: Eukaryota; Metazoa; Chordata; Mammalia; Primates; Cercopithecidae.
CGGAUGGGUGAUGGGUGCCCAGCAGUACUGAAGGCCUUCCUGAUCUGCAUCUUAGAGUCCAUGCAAGAUGUAGAAGUGUCUGCUGAGUACCCACUGUGCACAGAUCAUUGAGCCAGUGCUGAAGAUAUCAGUGUCCUGUGCUAAUGUUCACCUCUGCCUCCGCCAGGUGGUGCCUCUGAUUAUGAGCACACCCUCGAGUUCACCCAAAGUGCAGUGUGGAGGGAGGAUUCCUGAAUUUGGAGGCCUCAGUGGGAGCAGAUAGACCCAAGAGGAGACAAACUAGGAGUCCAGUCAAGCCACUGGAGGCGCAGAGGAUCUUGCAAGGACAGCAGACAUGUGGUUUAGAGGAACAAAGGGCAGGCAGGCAGCAGAGUCCAGCAGCAGCUGAGACAGUGGUACAAGGGAGGCUGUCUAUUUAUAGCACCCGAUGGUCCCCAAGUGCUGAUUGUGGCCCCAGAGGAGCCAGAGACCAGCAGGUAAGGGUGGCGUUUAGAGUAAGAAGCAAAGUGGUCCGGAUGGGCAAGUUCCACUACCCUAUCUGGGAGAGGAGGACCCUUUUGUGUGUGAUGUGCCCAGGA